This 377-nucleotide ribosomal RNA is filed under the name uncultured bacterium. Its description in RNAcentral is "bacterial SSU rRNA". It matches the Rfam family "Bacterial small subunit ribosomal RNA", at positions 30 to 408 of the family's 1533-position model. The record is from RNAcentral.
AUUGAACGCUGGCGGCAUGCCUUACACAUGCAAGUCGAACGGCAGCACGGGAGCAAUCCUGGUGGCGAGUGGCGAACGGGUGAGUAAUAUAUCGGAACGUGCCCAGUCGUGGGGAUAACGUAGCGAAAGCUACGCUAAUACCGCAUACGAUCUAUGGAUGAAAGCGGGGGAUCGCAAGACCUCGCGCGAUUGGAGCGGCCGAUAUCAGAUUAGGUAGUUGGUGAGGUAAAGGCUCACCAAGCCGACGAUCUGUAGCUGGUCUGAGAGGACGACCAGCCACACUGGGACUGAGACACGGCCCAGACUCCUACGGGAGGCAGCAGUGGGGAAUUUUGGACAAUGGGCGCAAGCCUGAUCCAGCAAUGCCGCGUGCAGGA